GAUGAACGCUGGCGGCGUGCCUAAUACAUGCAAGUCGAGCGAACAGACGAGGAGCUUGCUCCUCUGACGUUAGCGGCGGACGGGUGAGUAACACGUGGAUAACCUACCUAUAAGACUGGGAUAACUUCGGGAAACCGGAGCUAAUACCGGAUAAUAUAUUGAACCGCAUGGUUCAAUAGUGAAAGACGGUUUUGCUGUCACUUAUAGAUGGAUCCGCGCCGCAUUAGCUAGUUGGUAAGGUAACGGCUUACCAAGGCAACGAUGCGUAGCCGACCUGAGAGGGUGAUCGGCCACACUGGAACUGAGACACGGUCCAGACUCCUACGGGAGGCAGCAGUAGGGAAUCUUCCGCAAUGGGCGAAAGCUUGACGGAGCAACGCCGCGUGAGUGAUGAAGGUCUUCGGAUCGUAAAACUCUGUUAUUAGGGAAGAACAAAUGUGUAAGUAACUAUGCACGUCUUGACGGUACCUAAUCAGAAAGUCACGGCUAACUACGU
This 496-nucleotide ribosomal RNA is filed under the name uncultured bacterium. RNAcentral's name for it is "partial 16S ribosomal RNA". It matches the Rfam family "Bacterial small subunit ribosomal RNA", at positions 28 to 506 of the family's 1533-position model. The record is from RNAcentral.